ACUCUCAGCAUGAGGAGGUAGUGACGAAAAAUAACAAGACCGUUCUCUAUGAGGCCGGUUAUUGGAAUGAGUACAAUUUAAAUCCGUUAACGUGGAUCUAUGAGAGGGCAAGUCUGGUGCCAGCAGCCGCGGUAAUUCCAGCUCUCAAAGUGUAUAUCGUCAUUGCUGCGGUUAAAAAGCUCGUAGUUUGAUAUGCGCUACAGGAUUUGGUCCGCCCAUUGGGCGUGAACUGAACUCCUGGGCUAGUUGUGUUGGUUUUCCUUACGUUACCUUAAUCGGUUGCGUAGGGUGACUAACGAGUUUACUUUGAAAAAAUUAGAGUGCUUAACGCGGGCAUAUGCCUGAAUAUUCGUGCAUGGAAUAAUAGAAUAGGAUCUCGGUUCUAUUUUGUUGGUUUUCUGAUCUGAGAUAAUGGUUAAGAGGGACAGACGGGGGCAUUCGUUUCGCUUCGUGAGAGGUGAAAUUCUUGGACCGUAGCGAGACGCCCGACUGCGAAAGCAUUUGCCAAGAAUGUCUUCAUUAAUCAAGAACGAAAGUCAGAGGUUCGAAGGCGAUCAGAUACCGCCCUAGUUCUGACCGUAAACGAUACCAACUAGCGUUCCGUCAUCGGUGAAUAUGCCUUGGCGGGCAGCUUCCCGGAAACGAAAGUGUUUCGGUUCCGGGGGAUGUAUGGUUGCAAAGCUGAAACUUAAAGAGAUUGACGGAAGGGCACCACCAGGAGUGGAGCCUGCGGCUUAAUUUGACUCAACACGGGAAAACUCACCUGGCCC
This 770-nucleotide ribosomal RNA is filed under the name Heterakis gallinarum. RNAcentral describes it as "SSU rRNA". It matches the Rfam family "Eukaryotic small subunit ribosomal RNA", at positions 447 to 1225 of the family's 1831-position model. Lineage: Eukaryota; Metazoa; Nematoda; Chromadorea; Rhabditida; Heterakidae. The record is from RNAcentral.